RNAcentral lists this long non-coding RNA (270 nucleotides) under Mytilus galloprovincialis (Mediterranean mussel). Lineage: Eukaryota; Metazoa; Mollusca; Bivalvia; Mytilida; Mytilidae. The record is from RNAcentral.
UAUUCAAAUUUUUAGUAUCCAACUUAGCAACCAGUGGAACAUCGUCGUUACUUAUUAGUGGCAUCUCAACUUCCGUAUCAGGGUUUUCUGGUAUAACUGAUCCAUAUACAAGCCCAAUACACAAUAUUAAUGACAACAUUGCGACUAUAACUGUACAAUGACAGAACAGAUAAAUAAUUCAAAUAUUAUAUACCCAGAUUCGCCAGAAAACACUCAAUAAAAUUAAAAUUUAUGGGUAGCGCUAUUCUCGACUAAAAGUCUACCCCGAAA